This 237-nucleotide ribosomal RNA is filed under the name Triticum aestivum (bread wheat). RNAcentral's name for it is "partial small subunit ribosomal RNA". Lineage: Eukaryota; Viridiplantae; Streptophyta; Magnoliopsida; Poales; Poaceae. The record is from RNAcentral.
GUUAAAAGGGAUUUCAAGCACAUGGUUCACCACUUGAUUAGUGAAUAUGAUGGAAUGAACUCACAUAAGAAUAGUGUUGCUGCUAAAAUUGAAAACAUAAUGGAAGAAGUUGUGGCAUGUGGAGUAGAUGAAGCAAGUGAUGAGUACUUCAUAGCAACCAAGUUGUUUGCAAAGUUUGAAAAUCGUUGUUUCUUUAACAAUAUGAAGACCGGACAACAGUGGGUUACGAGAACUUGA